Molecule: ribosomal RNA, 429 nt
Filed under: Bacteroidota bacterium
Lineage: Bacteria; Pseudomonadati; Bacteroidota
Description: Bacteroidetes bacterium partial 16S ribosomal RNA
Rfam family: Bacterial small subunit ribosomal RNA
Source: RNAcentral
UAGGGAAUCUUCCGCAAUGGACGCAAGUCUGACGGAGCAACGCCGCGUGAGUGAAGAAGGAUUUCGGUUCGUAAAACUCUGUUGUUAGAGAAGAACAGCGCAUAGAGUAACUGUUAUGCGUGUGACGGUAUCUAACCAGAAAGCCACGGCUAACUACGUGCCAGCAGCCGCGGUAAUACGUAGGUGGCAAGCGUUGUCCGGAUUUAUUGGGCGUAAAGCGAGCGCAGGCGGUCAAUUAAGUCUGAUGUGAAAGCCCCCGGCUCAACCGGGGAGGGUCAUUGGAAACUGGUUGACUUGAGUGCAGAAGAGGAGAGUGGAAUUCCAUGUGUAGCGGUGAAAUGCGUAGAUAUAUGGAGGAACACCAGUGGCGAAGGCGACUCUCUGGUCUGUAACUGACACUGAGGCUCGAAAGCGUGGGUAGCAAACAGG